Molecule: ribosomal RNA, 464 nt
Filed under: uncultured Klebsiella sp.
Lineage: Bacteria; Pseudomonadati; Pseudomonadota; Gammaproteobacteria; Enterobacterales; Enterobacteriaceae
Description: bacterial SSU rRNA
Rfam family: Bacterial small subunit ribosomal RNA
Source: RNAcentral
CUACGGGGGGCAGCAGUGGGGAAUAUUGCACAAUGGGCGCAAGCCUGAUGCAGCCAUGCCGCGUGUGUGAAGAAGGCCUUCGGGUUGUAAAGCACUUUCAGCGGGGAGGAAGGCGGUGAGGUUAAUAACCUCAUCGAUUGACGUUACCCGCAGAAGAAGCACCGGCUAACUCCGUGCCAGCAGCCGCGGUAAUACGGAGGGUGCAAGCGUUAAUCGGAAUUACUGGGCGUAAAGCGCACGCAGGCGGUCUGUCAAGUCGGAUGUGAAAUCCCCGGACUCAGCCUGGGAACUGCAUUCGAAACUGGCAGGCUAGAGUCUUGUAGAGGGGGGUAGAAUUCCAGGUGUAGCGGUGAAAUGCGUAGAGAUCUGGAGGAAUACCGGUGGCGAAGGCGGCCCCCUGGACAAAGACUGACGCUCAGGUGCGAAAGCGUGGGGAGCAAACAGGAUUAGAUACCCGAGUAGUC